Molecule: ribosomal RNA, 440 nt
Filed under: uncultured bacterium
Lineage: Bacteria
Description: partial 16S ribosomal RNA
Rfam family: Bacterial small subunit ribosomal RNA
Source: RNAcentral
CCUACGGGUGGCAGCAGUGGGGGAUCUUGCACAAUGGGGGAAACCCUGAUGCAGCGACGCCGCGUGAGUGAAGAAGUAUUUCGGUACGUAAAGCUCUAUCAGCAGGGAAGAAAAUGACAGUACCUGACUAAGAAGCUCCGGCUAACGACGUGCCAGCAGCCGCGGUAAUACGUAGGGGGCAAGCGUUAUCCGGAUUUACUGGGUGUAAAGGGAGCGUAGGCGGUUAUGUAAGUCUGGAGUGAAAGCCCGGGGCGCAACCCCGGGACUGCUUGGGAAACUGUGUAACUGGAGUACAGGAGGGGCAGGCGGAAUUCCUGGUGUAGCGGUGAAAUGCGUAGAUAUCAGGAGGAACACCGGCGGCGAAGGCGACCUGCUGGACUGAAACUGACGUUGAGGCGCGAAAGCGUGGGGAGCAAACAGGAUUAGAUACCCCUGUAGUC